UAAAGUUACCUGGCGGUGCUUGGGAC
Molecule: non-coding RNA, 26 nt
Filed under: Mus musculus (house mouse)
Lineage: Eukaryota; Metazoa; Chordata; Mammalia; Rodentia; Muridae
Source: RNAcentral